CAGUUGGAAGAAGUCAGCUACAUC
Molecule: non-coding RNA, 24 nt
Filed under: Arabidopsis thaliana (thale cress)
Lineage: Eukaryota; Viridiplantae; Streptophyta; Magnoliopsida; Brassicales; Brassicaceae
Source: RNAcentral